UUUUAUUAUGGUGUCAAGAUCUAGGUCUGAUUCUCCGAGGUUUUACCCUCUUUUGGGGCUCCUCACGGAGAUAUCUCCAGAAUCCAUUCAAUGGAUAUUCGGAGAUUAAUCGGAAUAGAGUUCUUAAGUUUCAGAUCUGAUAGUUAAUCAUGCAUGAAAGUUUUAGCAUAAUUGUUUAAACGAUUCCAGCAUAAUCCUAUGUGUUCUUAAGGUGCUGAUUUCUAGAUUUGAUCUUGUAAGCAUGCAUGAAUUAAAUUGUUUGAUUCGA
Molecule: long non-coding RNA, 268 nt
Filed under: Phoenix dactylifera (date palm)
Lineage: Eukaryota; Viridiplantae; Streptophyta; Magnoliopsida; Arecales; Arecaceae
Description: long non-coding RNA (PDAC_LNC012771)
Source: RNAcentral